UAAGGAAUAUUGGACAAUGGUCGCAAGACUGAUCCAGCCAUGCCGCGUGCAGGAAGACGGCCCUAUGGGUUGUAAACUGCUUUUGUACCAGAGAAAACCUAUCUACGUGUAGAUAGCUGAUAGUAUGGUAAGAAUAAGCAUCGGCUAACUUCGUGCCAGCAGCCGCGGUAAGACGAAGGAUGCAAGCGUUAUCCGGAUUCAUUGGGUUUAAAGGGUGCGUAGGCGGGCUUGUAAGUCAGUGGUGAAAUCUCUCAGCUUAACUGAGAAACUGCCAUUGAUACUGCAGGCCUAGAGUAUAGAUGACGUUGGCGGAAUAUGACAUGUAGUGGUGAAAUACUUAGAUAUGUCAUAGAACACCGAUUGCGAAGGCUGCUAACGAAACUAUAACUGACGCUGAGGCACGAAAGUGCGGGGAUCAAACA
RNAcentral lists this ribosomal RNA (422 nucleotides) under uncultured bacterium. Its description in RNAcentral is "bacterial SSU rRNA". It matches the Rfam family "Bacterial small subunit ribosomal RNA", at positions 355 to 774 of the family's 1533-position model. The record is from RNAcentral.